GUAUUUAUAGCGGAUAUUCCCCUUCCAGGUUCUCAUUCUCGGCUUGGACAAACUUUGCUGGUAGCUAUCAAGACUGUUAUGCUCAAGAUGGUGCCAAAGAAGUUGUGCAGAAUCGCCACAUGCAGACGCAUGCUCAAGGAUAGGAUUUUUUGACCUGGAAAUGAUGGCUCAAGUGCAUGAGGCACCUCCAAGAGCAGGACUGAGCCGUACGACGGGGGAGGUGACCGGACCAUGUCAGCGUUGGUGAACCCUGACGGGGCUUCCUGAUUGGGUGAUGCUCUUGCAGGGAGAAGUGAACCAGGCCCCUCCAGAGAAGGUCCGAGCCGUAAGAUGGUGGGGGUGGUGACCAGACCAUGUCAGUGUUGGUGAACAGUGACGGGGAUUCCUGAUUGGGUGUUGCCCUGGCAGGAAGAAGUGAACCAGGCCCCUCCAGAGAAGCAGGUCCUGUUGCACCACCUGUUCCCAGGACCCACCCUGUAGGACCCACCCUGUAGGACCCACCCUGUAGGACCCACCCUGUAGGACCCACCCUGUAGGGCCUCCUGGUACGGGCUGUUUGGAGCUCCAUGAUGUCUAAGCCGGCCCGUGGCGACCUCAGCAUCUGAAUUGUGAAACUUUUCAAUAAAACAUGACAAAAAAAACUA
Molecule: long non-coding RNA, 644 nt
Organism: Gadus morhua (Atlantic cod)
Lineage: Eukaryota; Metazoa; Chordata; Actinopteri; Gadiformes; Gadidae
Exons: 9
Source: RefSeq, a predicted model, not a curated record